This 253-nucleotide ribosomal RNA is filed under the name uncultured bacterium. RNAcentral describes it as "partial 16S ribosomal RNA". It matches the Rfam family "Bacterial small subunit ribosomal RNA", at positions 524 to 776 of the family's 1533-position model. The record is from RNAcentral.
UACGUAGGGUGCGAGCGUUAAUCGGAAUUACUGGGCGUAAAGCGUGCGCAGGUGGCCGCGCAAGUCGAGUGUGAAAUCCCCGAGCUUAACUUGGGAAUUGCGCUCGAAACUGCGUGGCUCGAGUGUGGCAGAGGAAGGUGGAAUUCCACGUGUAGCGGUGAAAUGCGUAGAGAUGUGGAGGAACACCGAUGGCGAAGGCAGCCUUCUGGGCCAACACUGACGCUCAUGCACGAAAGCGUGGGGAGCAAACAGG